Molecule: ribosomal RNA, 393 nt
Filed under: uncultured bacterium
Lineage: Bacteria
Description: partial 16S ribosomal RNA
Rfam family: Bacterial small subunit ribosomal RNA
Source: RNAcentral
AUACGGAGGAUCCGAGCGUUAUCCGGAUUUAUUGGGUUUAAAGGGAGCGUAGAUGGAUGUUUAAGUCAGUUGUGAAAGUUUGCGGCUCAACCGUAAAAUUGCAGUUGAUACUGGAUAUCUUGAGUGCAGUUGAGGCAGGCGGAAUUCGUGGUGUAGCGGUGAAAUGCUUAGAUAUUACGAAGAACUCCGAUUGCGAAGGCAGCCUGCUAAGCUGCAACUGACAUUGAGGCUCGAAAGUGUGGGUAUCAAACAGGAUUAGAUACCCUGGUAGUCCACACGGUAAACGAUGAAUACUCGCUGUUUGCGAUAUACUGCAAGCGGCCAAGCGAAAGCGUUAAGUAUUCCACCUGGGGAGUACGCCGGCAACGGUGAAACUCAAAGGAAUUGACGGGG